ACUGGCAUGAGGCAGGGAGGGGGCGCUCAGACUCCCCCAAACUGUCCUCGGAAACAGAGCCUUCUCCAUGCCCCGAUCCAGCCCGCGGGGUCGCAGCUCCCUCACCUCCUCUCCCUACGCCACAUUCGCAACCAGGGGAAAAAGUAGAAACAGCCCCAGUAGAUCCUGCAAAAAAAAAGGCAGAGCAGGCCCGGCCGGCGGGCGGGGCGGGGCUGACCCUCAGACCCCGCCCCAGAGCCGCGCCCCCGGCGGCUCCGCCCACUCCGCCAAGGCGGGUCCAUCCGUAGCCCACGCCCCCUAGGGUCCCGCCCCCGCUCCCGCGGUGCACGCCCUCCCCCACCCCGAGUUUCCCGGGUCCUCCUCCGCAGAAGCACGCCUCCACUCACUCCUCUUCCGCCUCCAGCGCCACUUCGUAUCUCCGCAAUCCGGGCAUGUCCUGGGCUCCGACUGUCUCCUGGGGAGCGGCAGGGUUGGACCAAGUAUUCCCUAGCCCCAGGUCCCCUUCUCCAUCAUUCCCGGGACGAAUCUAGUCACCAGUUACUCUUGAGAACCACAAGUGAGGAAAUGUGUUGCAUGGAGAGUGGAACUGGAUCAAUACGUUGAGAGCUACCCGGCAAGACCCAAGAAACAGACCAGGAAACCUCUCAGGACAGACUGUAUCCAGCUCUAGGUUAUGUGAUGUGGCAGAUUUCACCAUAGGCUUGUUUUUCUGUUCCAUCCAUCCAUCCAGCCGUACCAAGGAUCAAAGGCCAAAUUUAUUUGAAACAUGCAGUUUAAAAAGAUUAGCACAAGAAGAAACAGAAAAUUGAAUAAAUGUAUGCACUUUAAAAAAUUUGAAUUUGUAAUCAAAAUUUCACAUGAAGUUCUGGACCUAGCAGUUUUCACUCAAGUGUUUUGAUAAACAUUCACUAAUAAAUAUCAUCAGCCUUACACUUUUUUUGGAAAAUAGAGAAGAGUGUAACAAUUCUGUUUUUUAAAGGCAGUGGGAAUCUAUCCUAAAAUUAUUCCAGAUAAUAUGGGUAUGGGUAGAAUAUGCCAAAUUUUUGAUGAACAUAGGUAUAAAACUUCGUAGUGAAAUUGAACUCAGAAAUAUAUAAGAAAGAUAUUAUAUCUUAAGUGACAUUUAUCUCAGGAAUACAAAGUUGAUUUGAUAUUUAGAAAUCAGUAUAAUUCACCACAUUACAAAGGUAAAAGAUAAGCUCAUCAUGGUGACUGAUACCAGUAGUCCCACACUUAGGCUGAGGCAGGAGGAUCACAAGUUUGAAUCCCACCUAGGCAGUUUAGCAAAACUGGCAAGAAGGGGCUGGGGAUCUAGCUCAGUGUAGAAUGUCCCUGGAUUUGAUCUCUGGAACUGCAGAAAGGGAACGCAAAAGAAAAGCAUAAGGAAAAGCUAAAGGAAGGAGAGGAGAGGAGGUAUCAGCUUAAUACAUUAAAAAAAUCCUUUGAGAAACUUAGCACUCAUUUAGGUUACAGAAAACUCCUUAGUUUGAUGAAAGGUAUCACAACAAUAACACUUAUGAAAUCUACUAUGAAAUCCUGAACAGUUCUAAAUAAAACUGGGAAGAAGUCACUUUGGUACAAAAUAGUAUUGGAGGUUCUAACCAGUACAAUUGGAAAGGUAACUAACUAAGAAAUACGAAAAAAGUAACAUUCAGCAAUCAUAUGUAUAAAGUAUCAAGAACUUUUAACUGCUGAAACUAGUACAUUAUUUUACCAAGAUUACUAAUAUAUUAAUGUAAACAAAGUAAUUUCAUUCUAUAUGCUAACAACAAGCAAUUAGAAAAUUUUAUUUACAAUAGCAUAUAGAUACAAAAUAUUUAAAAAUAAAUUUAAGAAAGAACAUGCAAUAAUAUUCUGGAAAAAAUCCAGAAUAUUAAAUUAAAGAAUUUAAAUGAAUGAAGGAUUCUACUAUGUCUGAGGUUUGGAAGUCUCAAUGUUAUUAAAGUCUAUUCUCAUAAGCACAAAUCUUGGUCUCAAUGAUAAAUUUAAUAGACUGGAUUCUAAAGUGAAAUCGACAUGUUAUUUCAAAUAUAUUUGAGAUUCAAAGGAUAUAGAAUAACCAAAAUCUUGUAAUAAAAUCAUAGUUAUUGGAUAUUACCUAUUUUAAAAACAAAAAAACUUGUAGAACUGCAGUAAUAAAGAUAAUGUGGAGACAGGGUAGGCAAUUAGGUCAGUCAAACAGUAUAGAAACCAAAAAUAGAACUAUUUAUAUAUAUAUAUAUAUAAUUUAUAUAUAUAUAUAUAUAAUCAUUUUAAUUUUUUUGUUUGUUUUGUUUUUGGUCUUUGUGACCCCAUAGCAAGUAGUAACUCUUUUUCUUUUCUGUUGUACUAGGAAUCAAACUCACGACCUCUCAUUUGCCAAACAGGCACCAUGCCACAGAGCUAUAUUUCCAGCCCACAGGGACUCACCGUGCAGUUCAGGCUGGCCUUGAACUCACUUUGUAACCCAGGCUGGCCUUGAACUUGCAAUGAUCCUCCUGCCUCAGCCUCUUGGAUGCUGGAAUUACAGGCAUGGGCCAUCACACCUGGCUAAUCACUUUAAUUUUAACAAAAACAUUAAGCCCAUGACCUUCCUGCUGUAAGAGAAGGAACCACUGUCAACCCAGAAUAAAACUGCCGGACAACAUGUGACCCAGCCUGUGUAACCAAUUAUAAAAUACCCUGCUAUCAGCCUUUUGUACUUCUGCCUACAACAUCAGGUGCUCCUCAACAGGCGCCCUCUGCUGCCCACUCUGCAGUUCAGCAAGGUCUUCAACAGCAGCGCCUCAACAAGCUCCUCUGCGUCUGCACCAUCAGUGUCCAGACCCCUGCUCUUGCCCAUGGACACAGUCUCCUUCUCUACCUGUGCCCCAGAUCCUUCAGAGUCAUGUUCAGUGUCCUCCAGGCUGAGUUUAAGGUCCAGUGUGUGGCAUCUUCCCAGGCUCUGUCAGUGAGGCCGACACAGUGGAGGAAUUCUCUCUGCAUCAGGGAUGUCUCCUGAGUGUCAGACACUGAAACACCCAGUGAAUCCCUCCUUUAUGUGCAGCUACUUGAAGUUGCAGGUCACUUGCUGGUCCCUGGGCUGCAGAAGAGGUGGCACGUUGUGGGGAGGAACUUGACCUUUCUGAAGUCACACUCAGGGUCCACAUCAUCCACCAGGGCUGGAGGGUGUUAGGGGCAGUGUCCGUCAGAAGAAGGCACCUUCCAGGCACUUGGGUGUCAGAGAGAUACUUCUUAACAGUGAACAUGAGCACCUUGUGCAGCCAUUCCAUGGACCCCUGCUUUCGCAUUGGCUCCCCACGUGACAGGCAGUCUGACCUUGUUCACAUUCUGCUCUUUGACUGCACGAGGGGGCUUAAUCUUCAAGUGUGGCUUGCAUUCACACAGCACAAGGGUCAGUCUGUCCUGUAUGGACUUGUGCCCUGACAGUGCCUCUUCCUCCUGCAUGGUAAUGGGUUUGAUUGGAAUCUUCCAGAAGAGCCCUGUUUCACAUGGCUAUACACUUGAGCAACAAAUCCUUCUGUCUUCACGAAUCCCCUGAAUGCUUUCUUGUUGGCUUCUGCAGCAGCCUUGUCAGAGCUGGAGCCUUACCAUGUCUCAGCACACCAUGAGCGUCACUUGCAGAAUUUAUCCAGCCACCCUCUAAUGGCUUUAAAGUCGUCACUGCUGCACUUGUAGAGGGGUUUUGUGGACUAAACCACUCUCCAGUUUCUUGGCUUUUCCACAGAUCACAGCUUUACUAAUGCUGUCACUUGCCAGCUGUUUCUCAUUCAACCACACUGACAAAAGUGUUUUCACCUCUUCCAACACUUGUGUUCCCCGCUUGGUUAACACUUUACUCCCUUUGUCAUGUCAUUUCCUUCAAUGGCAUCUUUGUUCUUUAAAACAGUUGAGACUGUCAACUUUGCCAUCUUAUACUCUGAGGCCAGAGGAGUCACAAGAAUACCACGCUCAUGCUUUUCUACAAUUUCCUUCUUUAGUUCGAUGGCGAUUUUCUUCAAAACCUUCUUACUGUUAUUCUUCUGCACAUUUUUGUCAUCUUCAUUACUGCUCUGCACUUUUUUUUUUUUUUACUGCUGUGCUUGCCCUGCACUUCUUUGGAGCCUCACUAGCCUGAAUAAUACUGUACAGUAUGUGUACACAGCGUACAAAAACCCGCAGCAAAUGUGUACGGGUUUGUCUGUGACUGAAACCUUGACUAGAGAAAAGUGUAACCAUGUGGCAUAUUUGUGUGAGGCAGAUAACUGAGCUAUAUUCAUCACCGGGUGCUGAGUUUGUUACUGGAAGCAAAGUUUUGCCUCACACUUCUACUUGCAGGCUGCAUUGUUUGCAAACGGAAGUGUUCAUGAACUGAGGUAACAGUAUUUCCCACUACUGGAAGAGCGCCAAUCUAUAACAAGAAUGUGACUCCUUCACGGAAAGAAUUAGGAGUCAAGGGAUGAAGAUGUUGAAUCUCUGAAUCCUGGGCUAAAGACCAAGACUAAAUCUCCUUAACAGAUCUCAGUAGAUGAUGUCACAAAAGUUUUUUAUUCUGAGACAAGGUUACACUGUGUAGUUCAGACUGGCCUUGCACUAACUAUAUGGUCCAGGUGGUCUUGAACUUGGGGCAGUCUUCCUGCCUCUGCCUCCCAAGUGCUGAGUUACAGGCGUGCGCUACCGCACCUGGUGACAUGACAAACUUUAUGGACCAUGACUGAGCUGAGUUUUCACCAUCUGCAUUUGAAAGAGCCCUCACAGUAUUCAUUGUGUUGUUCCUGUGUACGGAUGAAGCUCGAUGGCCCACUUGUCUUCUGUGUCACCUUCCGUGUGUUGCCAGCAUCAGAUGCCCUCUGUUAGGGUUCUUGCUGGGGUGCAGUGAGGACAGAGUUCAGUCUGAUUAACCGAACUCAAAAGUUCAGUUUUUUUGUUUCUUUGUUUUGCUUUCUGAGAUAAGAGUCUUACGGUGUAGUUCAGGUAGACUUGGACUCCUUGUGGAGCCCAGGUUGGUGCCAACUCAGUGACCCUUGUGCCUCAGCCUCUUGAGUGCUGAGAUUACAGGCAUGCAGCAUGAUGCCUGGCUUAGAGUCCGGUUCUAAGAAUAACCUUCAGUGUAAAGACAUAGAUUAAUCUCUUAUAAACUCUUGGGGCUGGGGAUUUAGCUCAGCGGCAUAAGCGCCUACCUUGCAAGCAGGCAGUUGUGAGUUUGAUCCCUGGUACCGAUAAAAAGGAAAAAGGCAAAAAAAAAAAAAUCUCUUAUAAACUCUGACUUUGUCUUUUUAAUAGCCUUACUCCAACUCUUUUUUUUUUUGGUACUAGGGAUCAAACUCAUGACUUCACACUUGCCAGUCAGGUGCUGGUGCCGCUGAGCUAAAUCCUUAGCCCUUUACUCAAAACUUAAAUGUACUAUUCCAAAUCUAGAACUACGGCAGUGUUCAGCAAAACAAAGGACUCUCCAGUCUGUAGGCUCCGUUAAACCCAGAAGCCAUUUAGCCACCCUGCUCUUUAAGUCUGCUGCUCUGGAUGUCAUAGUACUCCACAAGCGAUUUCUCAACCUAUUUCUGUGUGUCUGUGCUCAUAGUUGUAUAUGUGUCUGUUUUUGCCUUGUCUCUCCUGUGAUUAUAUGUUAAGUGUUUAAUAGGCCCUUGGUAUAUGUGACUGUGAUUGUGUGCCUAUAUGUGGGUUGGGGCCUGUGUAUGUGGGUGAGGGUGCAGAUGCUCGUGGAUUUGCGUGUUGACUUGUUUUCUGGGUGCUGUUUCAAUCCAUUCCCUCUGUGAAGCUCAAUCUCAAGGACCUGCACGGAGUAUUUUUUUUUUCUUUUUUUGUCUUUUUUUUCAUUUGUAUCGGUACUGGGGAUCGAACUCACGACUGCCUGCUUGCAGGCAGGUACUUAAGCCGCUGAGCUAAAUCCCCAGCCCCUACCUGUAAUAUUUUAUGACCAGGGGAAAGAGGAUGGGAGCUCUUGGCCUAGGCCCUCAACCUCAUGGGGCCUGCAGAGGGCGUCUAGUAUAUAGGCAAAUGGAGCGCGUGGUUUGUGGAAGGGAUGCUUUGGCCUGAGUGUGCUGGGGUGUCUUAUUCCAGAAAGGGACUGGAAAUGAGCAAGAAUCCAAAUCAAAUGACUCAGCUUCUGAAAGUCCCUGAUCCUGGAGGGGUCCUGUUUCAUUUUCUGUCUUUCUCCAAGUUUUCUGCCCAUUUCCAGAGUGUCUUGGCCCAGACAAAGGGGCAGAGCUUGGCUCUGCAGUCCUAGAGAGUAAGUGAGAUAUUGCGGAGGUGAUAGGACUCCGGACAGGAAGUCGUCUUGAGCAAUAGUGCAGCCACCUUCCCCUGCCUCUUGCCCGCCGGAGCUGAAGUGGUGCCACUUUGGGGGUCUUUGAAAGUUUCUCAGUCAUUGUGAGCUGGAGUAUGCCUGGGCCUGGACUAAGCUUGCUUGGGAAAGGCUCAGUAAACAAGGGCUUCUGAACACGAAGUGGGAGGUGACCUGAGUGGCUGCUGAGGGAGAGUUUUGGGGGCUGGAGUGAGGCAGGAGAGCUGGGCGAUGGAGGGAGCUUUGCAGGACUUUGAGUGUGGCUGGGACAGGAGGGAGAUUUUCUAAGGAGAAUGAACAGCAGCACGAAGGCUCAAAGGAGAGACUUGGAGUUAACAUAUUCAUGCCACCUUGAGCCACUGACAGUACACGUGUGGUGGUCACAUGGGGCGACUUGUACCACUGGUGGUACACAUGCAUGACGGCCCCAUGCUGCCUGAUGGGACAUUCGUGCAUGUGCAGCCCCACUGUGAACACGUUAGCCCUAAUGCAGGUAAGGGCGGAAGGUUGGAAAGAGUGUGGUUGUAUAUGAAAUAACUGGGGACUUGUUUCCAGAGCCUCACUGGAAGAGUACCUCACUGUAGAGUAAUUCCUGACAGGGCCGGGGAUUUAGCUCAGUAGUGUAAGCUCCUCUGGCAAGUGCUGGCAAGUGCUAGGUCGUGAGUUUGAUCCCUGUUACAAAAAAGACUUCUGGCAGUGGAGCUGUGGGGGUGACCAUGCCAGCUUCAAUCUGCAGUCCCAAGAGGGUGCAUCCAGACUGGCCACAUCUGUCAAAAUAUACGGGAGGCUGAGAGCGGGUACCUGGCUAUCUGGGCUUUUUUUUUUUUUUUUUUUUUUGUCUUUUUCCUUUUUUAUCGGUACCAGGGAUCGAACUCACGACUGCCUGCUUUGCAGGGCAGCUGCUUAUGCCACUGAGCUAAAUCCCCAGCCCCUGCUAUCUGGGCUUUUAUGUGGGAAGAGGAUUCUGUGCUGCAGUCGCCCUAAGAAGGGAGGUGGGAGUCAGCCUGGAAGGGAUCAGUGGGGUGGAAGAAGCUGUGCAGACCUAGAGAUAUUAAAGAGAUGGGAAACAACUGGAACGAGGGGGAAGAACACAUGGAGACUAGCGCACACCUGUAAUCCCAGCAUUCCGGAGGCUGAGGCAGGAGGAUCAUUGCAAGUUCGAGACCAGCCUGGACUACAUAGUGAGACCCUGUCUCAAAGACAAAAAAAAAAAAAAAAAAAAAAAAAAAAAAAAAAAAAAAAAAGAAAGAAAGAAAGAGCAGAUGAAGAGCCAGGGAUGACACACGAUGUGCGUCUGGGUUCCAGGUUGCAGAGCUGCUGCCUGUUUGGGAUUUCCUCUUGGCUCUCUCAUGGCUGCCUAAUUCCAAACCCAAACUGGGCUUCCAGCACCUCCCUCUUAGCUUAUUUUUCUUGUGAUUCACUUGUGUCUGAGACUGUCAUGCCUUGCUGCAGCUGCCCAGACCUGAAACCUGGAUCAGCUCUGUUUGUCCUCUUUCCUUUAUGCCUCAAAUAUAAUAAAAAGAUUUAAAUUA
This is a long non-coding RNA of Cavia porcellus (domestic guinea pig), 7791 nucleotides long. RefSeq lists it as uncharacterized. NCBI's taxonomy places the organism in Eukaryota, Metazoa, Chordata, Mammalia, Rodentia, Caviidae. The transcript is spliced from 4 exons. The record is from RefSeq and is a predicted model, not a curated record.